RNAcentral lists this ribosomal RNA (323 nucleotides) under uncultured Pseudomonadota bacterium. RNAcentral's name for it is "bacterial SSU rRNA". It matches the Rfam family "Bacterial small subunit ribosomal RNA", at positions 29 to 364 of the family's 1533-position model. The record is from RNAcentral. Lineage: Bacteria; Pseudomonadati; Pseudomonadota.
AACGAACGCUGGCGGCAGGCCUAACACAUGCAAGUCGAACGAGAACGCACCUUCGGGUGUUAGUAGAGUGGCGCACGGGUGAGUAACGCGUGGGAACCUACCUUGGGGUACGGAAUAACGUCGGGAAACUGGCGCUAAAUACCGUAUACGUCCUCCGGGGAGAAAGAUUUAUCGGCCCUAGGAUGGGCCCGCGUUAGAUUAGCUUGUUGGUGAGGUAACGGCUCACCAAGGCGACGAUCUAUAGGCUGGUCUGAGAGGAUGAUCAGCCACACUGGAACUGAGACACGGUCCAGACUCCUACGGGAGGCAGCAGUGGGGGAAUA